Molecule: ribosomal RNA, 552 nt
Filed under: Haemulon plumierii
Lineage: Eukaryota; Metazoa; Chordata; Actinopteri; Lutjaniformes; Haemulidae
Description: partial large subunit ribosomal RNA
Rfam family: Bacterial large subunit ribosomal RNA
Source: RNAcentral
UAAGAGGUCCCGCCUGCCCUGUGACUAUAUGUUUAACGGCCGCGGUAUUUUGACCGUGCGAAGGUAGCGCAAUCACUUGUCUUUUAAAUAGGGACCUGUAUGAAUGGCAUAACGAGGGCUUAGCUGUCUCCUUUUUCAAGUCAAUGAAAUUGAUCUCCCCGUGCAGAAGCGGGGAUGCGACCAUAAGACGAGAAGACCCUGUGGAGCUUUAGACACCAAGGUAGACCAUGUUAAGCACCCCAAAACAAAGGGCCAAACUGAAUGAACCCUGCCCGCAUGUCUUCGGUUGGGGCGACCAUGGGGUAAAACAAACCCCCCACGCGGAAAAGGAGUACUACUCUCCUACAGCUUAGAGCUCCCGCUCUAAUAAACAGAAUUUCUGACCUAAAGAUCCGGCAAAGCCGAUCAACGGACCAAGUUACCCCAGGGAUAACAGCGCAAUCCUCUUUUAGAGCCCAUAUCGACAAGAGGGUUUACGACCUCGAUGUUGGAUCAGGACAUCCUAAUGGUGCAGCCGCUAUUAAGGGUUCGUUUGUUCAACGAUUAAAGUCC